UGUGACUAUUUUGCUACACCCGUUCACCCCGAGCGAUUAACUCGAGCAAAUCAGUGAGCAAGAUUUCUUCGGAACCUUCGUCUUAACGGGUCUUUCUCAGAUGUACAGAACCUAUGAAGUAUGCUGAAACAAGUGCUUCAAUUACACUCUGGUCCUUUCACUCUAAUAUAUGAUGUGCAGCAUAAAAUGUCUUGAAACAGAUAUGGGUAAUGUAAAAGUGUUGUGGUUGCGGAAAAGUGCAAACUAAGGCUUGGACAGGAAUGAGAUGUACAGAACCUACUAAAGUAUGCUGAAACAUGUGCUUCAAUUACACUCUGGUACUUUCACUCUAAUAUAUGAUGUGCAGCAUAAAAUGUCUUGAAACAGAUAUGGGUAGUGUAAAAGUGUUGUGGUUGCGGAAAAGUGCAAACUAAGGCUUGGACAGGAAUGAGGUAACCGAUUUUUGCUUCUCUACUGAUAGUUCAUUGGGCAAUGUCAUGAUUGUGUCCGUCCUGUUCUGUAAAAGAAGAGCAACCUUCUUGCCGAUGUUGUUUCAUUCCCACUCUUUCAAAGGAGUAAACAAGAUGUUUAUUCAAGAUCCUCCAAAAUGACAAUCACUUACUUUCAGAGAUCAGUGUGGUUCUGGCUUAAUUUUGGCUGAUAUAAUUUUUCCCUUCCUGCCAUUUUAUAUGUUUUGUGUAAUACUUUGUGUUGUGAUGUCCUGUUGACAUUUCAGAUGUACAUAGUUGUUG
This is a long non-coding RNA of Dendronephthya gigantea, 731 nucleotides long. RefSeq lists it as uncharacterized. The transcript has 3 exons. The record is from RefSeq and is a predicted model, not a curated record. Lineage: Eukaryota; Metazoa; Cnidaria; Anthozoa; Malacalcyonacea; Nephtheidae.